Molecule: ribosomal RNA, 901 nt
Filed under: Frondihabitans sp.
Lineage: Bacteria; Bacillati; Actinomycetota; Actinomycetes; Micrococcales; Microbacteriaceae
Description: bacterial SSU rRNA
Rfam family: Bacterial small subunit ribosomal RNA
Source: RNAcentral
GUAGGGUGCAAGCGUUGUCCGGAAUUAUUGGGCGUAAAGAGCUUCGUAGGCGGUUUGUCGCGUCUGCUGUGAAAUCUGGGGGCUCAACCCCCCAGCCUGCAGUGGGUACGGGCAGACUAGAGUGCGGUAGGGGAGAUUGGAAUUCCUGGUGUAGCGGUGGAAUGCGCAGAUAUCAGGAGGAACACCGAUGGCGAAGGCAGAUCUCUGGGCCGUAACUGACGCUGAGGAGCGAAAGCAUGGGGAGCGAACAGGAUUAGAUACCCUGGUAGUCCAUGCCGUAAACGUUGGGAACUAGAUGUAGGGGCCAUUCCACGGUUUCUGUGUCGCAGCUAACGCAUUAAGUUCCCCGCCUGGGGAGUACGGCCGCAAGGCUAAAACUCAAAGGAAUUGACGGGGGCCCGCACAAGCGGCGGAGCAUGCGGAUUAAUUCGAUGCAACGCGAAGAACCUUACCAAGGCUUGACAUAUACCGGAAACGUCCAGAGAUGGUCGCCCCGCAAGGUCGGUAUACAGGUGGUGCAUGGUUGUCGUCAGCUCGUGUCGUGAGAUGUUGGGUUAAGUCCCGCAACGAGCGCAACCCUCGUUCUAUGUUGCCAGCACGUUAUGGUGGGAACUCAUAGGAGACUGCCGGGGUCAACUCGGAGGAAGGUGGGGAUGACGUCAAAUCAUCAUGCCCCUUAUGUCUUGGGCUUCACGCAUGCUACAAUGGCCGAUACAAAGGGCUGCAAUACCGUAAGGUGGAGCGAAUCCCAAAAAGUCGGUCUCAGUUCGGAUUGAGGUCUGCAACUCGACCUCAUGAAGUCGGAGUCGCUAGUAAUCGCAGAUCAGCAACGCUGCGGUGAAUACGUUCCCGGGCCUUGUACACACCGCCCGUCAAGUCAUGAAAGUCGGUAACACCCGAA